UACGUAGGCAGCAAGCGUUGUUCGGAAUUACUGGGCGUAAAGAGUUCGUAGGCGGUGCGGCAAGUUCGGUGUGAAAUCCCUCGGCCCAACCGAGGAACUGCGCCCGAGACUGCUUCUCUUGAGUCCCGGAGAGGAAGAUGGAAUUCCCGGUGUAGCGGUGAAAUGUGUAGAGAUCGGGAGGAACACCGGUGGCGAAGGCGGUCUUCUGGACGGUGACUGACGCUGAGGCGCGAAAGCGUGGGGAGCAAACGGG
This 253-nucleotide ribosomal RNA is filed under the name uncultured bacterium. RNAcentral describes it as "partial 16S ribosomal RNA". It matches the Rfam family "Bacterial small subunit ribosomal RNA", at positions 524 to 776 of the family's 1533-position model. The record is from RNAcentral.